RNAcentral lists this long non-coding RNA (3925 nucleotides) under Ovis aries (sheep). RNAcentral's name for it is "lncRNA (ENSOARG00000025275.1)". The record is from RNAcentral. Lineage: Eukaryota; Metazoa; Chordata; Mammalia; Artiodactyla; Bovidae.
AUGGCAGCAGGACAGGCUUGUUGGAAACGGCUUUUUCUUGAAGGCCGUUGCCUGAAACAGCGGCUACCAUGCACAGCGUUGUCCCUGGCACUCUGCUUAGAUGCAAACAGGUCAUUUUGCUUAGUGGGUCGGCUCCCAGUAGGACAGCUGGAGGUGGAGGCAGAGGGUCCCCCAAACACACACUCCCCUGACCUGGCCAAGCCCUGGGCUACCCCUGGGGGGCUGGAGGGAGGUGCCAGCCAGGCUCGAGGCCUAGGGACAUGGGCGUGGUUGGCAGCUGUGUGCUUUCCAGGCCAUCGGCAAGUCACUGCAAGUUUAGUGAAGUUCCUUGUAAAGUGCUGUAGAGAUGGCAGGGUAAGGGAAUUAGGGGAAGCGAGGUUGGGAGAAAGAACAAGAUUGGCACCUGGAAAAGGAAAUGGCAACCCACUCCAGCGGUCUUGCCUGGAGAAUACCAGAGAUGGGGGAGCCUGGUGGGCGGCCGUCUGUGGGGUCGCACAGAGUCGGACACGACUGAAGUGGAGCAGCAGCAGCAGCAGCAGCAGCACUGACCCAAGGAAAGACCUGCUGCCCAAAUACAUACUCGUGGACAGAUGCGCUGGACACACCGAUGACGUGUGGACAGACCCACACGCGUGCACCUGGUGGGCAGGCAAGAAACGCGCGGCAGCCUUCCAGGCGGGCGCCAGCUGCGAGGAGCUCUGACCUGGAGCGGCUCCACGUCGCCAGGACGCUCGCUCCAUUGCCUGGCACUAGGUUUCUCCUGCUCUGCUCUUUCCAAGGCGGUUAAGGUUCACCAGUGCCGGGGGUGGGGCGGGGAUGCGGCGCGUGGAGGAGGCCGGGGCUGGGCUGGGUGAGUGGGAAGAGGCACGGAAAACCCAACGAUGAGGCCCUGGGACCGGCGCCCCCUGCUGGAACAGUGGCAGAGGCGGGGGUCGGGAAAGAGGCGGGUCUGGGGGUCGGGGAGAGGGAGCCCACGGCGAGCCCUGGGGCCGGGGCCGGAGCACCCUGCACACGCGGCGCCCACGGCGCCCAGCUCUGCUUGUUGCAGCUGAAAUACAUGUGCCCUUCACCGCCUCCAGUCUCUCGCCAGCACCCCCUGACCGAGUGGUGGCAGAAAUAGAAACCAAGGUGUGUCUGUUACUGGCGGAUGGUCACACAGACUACAUCACACCUUCCAGAUUCAAAGGAGACCCCAGGACCCUGGUAGACUCAGAAAGUUUCCAAGACGAACUGUUGAAGGAGGAAAGAAGACAAAGUGUGUUUAAGAUGAUUCCAGUUCCGUCUUCUUGGUAAAAGGUUUAAAAUGCCAUGUCUGCACUUCAUCCCUGCAGCUCAUACGCCAUCAACACACUCCAAGGGCAGAGGCUCUGGGGUGAGGGCCUGUCUGCCGACCUUCAGGGGAGGGCGGGGGGGCCGGCGGCCAGGCCUGCCCCCUGCUUGGUUCCCAGCGGGUCCCUGGCCAGUCCUGUGCCUUCUGGGAGCCUCUACCACCCACGGCAGCCAGGCGUACAGGGCACUGAGCCCCAGGGUCUGCAGGAGGUCCUGCUGAAGGUCAGCUUCAGGUGGCCCUUGGGUCGCUUCUUUUCUCCAGACUGCAGCGCAGUUUCCACAGUUUAGAUGAAACCCAAACCAAGGAGUGCAGACAAGGAGGCCCCUGUGUGUGUGGGGGGGCUGGCCUUGGUAAGGAUGCAAGCCGGGUUCUGUCUCUAGGCCCACUUUAUGAGCCAAUAAAGCUGGCUUCUUUGAGGGCCAACCCCUUGCAAAUGAUGAGAAAACUGCUCCCAUUUCCAUGACUGUCAAAAGCACAAUCCAGGGCCAAACUUGGAAACGCUUGCCUCUCGGGCCCUAUGGGGACACAUUUCCCUAUGGUCCUGGGGAGACUUACAGAGUCCGCAGGUGCUAAGAGCCAGCAAACAGGAGAUCUUACUUAAACGUGUGGGAGUGACGGCUGCAGGGCUGGGGAAGGAGGCUUUGUCACCUCUGUGGGCCUGAAGCCCAGAGCCCUCACUGCUCAGCGAGCAGCAGAGGUGAGGGCCACGGCCACGGCUGCUUCUGUGGUUUCCGGCAUCUUGUGUGCCAGCUGCCCCACACUUGAGGACGUGGGCUCCCCCAGCACCACUCAAAGCCCCUGUCUUCAGAGCUGUCCUUCCAGGCUUGGAGCCAAACUUUUUUGAUGGCACAGACUGUGAAGAGUGUGUGUGUGCCUGGGUGUGAGCACACACUGCUGUGUCUGCAUGCACACGUGUGAGCACACACGGCUGUAUCUGCAUGCACAUAUGUGAGCACACACGGCUGCGUGUCUGCAUGCACAUAUGUGAGCACACGGCUGUGUGUCUGCAUGCACAUGUGAGCACACACUGCUGUGUCUGCAUGCACACGUGAGCACACACGGCUGCGUGUCUGCACGCACAUGUGCACCUGUGUGUGUUGACAGGCUCUGCUCACUUCCCUUCCUCCUGCUCCCUCUCCCCCCUCUGCCCCCCUCUGCCCCUGGAGCCCAGGACCCUUGGCAAAGUCAGGCCCCCAGCUCAACCUCCUGCCCUCCUCUCUGGGAGUACCCCUGUUCAGAUGUUUCAAACCUGAGUUUGCCCCCGAUGCCCCAGGCAGGUGGGACUCGGGGCAAGGACAUCCAAGUCCCCAUCCCUCCACCUCCACCUCCCUCAGCCUGGAGCCAGCCAGGCCCUCUGUCUGCACAACAGGACAGCAUACUGCUCAGGUCAAGGGCCUGGUGUCCGUGGGUCUAUCAGCGUCACUACAUCCGUUAAUGAAGGAGGCGCUAAGUAAGGAGGGCUCCCUGGAGCAGAGCUCUGAGUAAGGCAGAGAAGCAGGGGAAGAUGCCUCAGCGGGAGGAGAACCGGGUCUCCCUGGUCCUGGCCUCCGAGGGACCCCCACCUGUGCAGAGACUCCAUCCUGGGACAAGAGCCCGGGGGGCCCCUCCCGCCUGGGCUGGGAAGUCCGGCUGGAGCGCUGCGCUGCUGAUUUUACUGUUGCGCUCAGUCCACACGCCUCGCGGAGGGGCUGUCCCCAGGGGUAUAUUAACCUGCGGGCCGGGAAGCAGCUGCUCUACCGUGUGGUAAAGGCUUCACCGUUUUAGAAAGACCCUGACUCAGACCUCUUCAGGCCAGAGGAACGGUGGUAGCAAAUGGGUCCAUCCAUGCCGGAUGCCGGUGGAGAGCCGGGUCUGGUUCCGCGUGGAAGAGCGGAUCUGACCGCGUGACAUGAAGAACCCCGGAGGAGAGAAACACUGGACCGCGGCACGCUCAGUGAACGCACCAAACUGAGCUUCCUUCUAAAGCCCCACUAAGUCCACUGCGUGCCCCACCUGCGCCGCACAAACUACCAGUCCGGGUGAUCCCUGCGCAGCCCGUUCACCGCACUGCGUCCGGGACAGGUGCCAGGGCCACGCUCCCCCAGGUGGUACCCGUCCUGCUAGCUCGGAAGCUCGGGCAUGGGGGAGAAAACGGCACCACGCGUGCCCACGCGUGUCCCCUUCUUCCCGCCCCCAGCUGCUGCUGGUCUCCCGGCGGUGCCCUCGAGCAAGUCUGGUCUUGCCUGCGUCAGCACUCGGGCCAUGACCUCCCAGUGGGCAGCGCCUGUGCCCCUCGCCCGCGGCACCCGCUGCUCUGAGAUGCUCUGAGCGCAGGCUGGACCACCCCCCGGCCCCCGAUCGGGGCCUCGGUGAAGCCGGCUCUGGACCUCAUCCCAGACGGAGGUCGGAGGCAGGGCGGGAGUAAACAAGGCUGCCUAGAGGGCCCGGCCCCGUACAGCCUUACCCAGGAAGACGGCAGGUCCGGGCAGUGCAGCGUCCCGGAGCUGGAGUACAGCACGUCAUCCUUGACCAGCACCGAGACGGCCCGCAGGAUGAAAGACAGGAACAGGUUCAGGUGGAUGUAGUUCCGGGUGCAGUGCAGCUUCCUGCAGAGGG